This 253-nucleotide ribosomal RNA is filed under the name uncultured bacterium. Its description in RNAcentral is "partial 16S ribosomal RNA". It matches the Rfam family "Bacterial small subunit ribosomal RNA", at positions 524 to 776 of the family's 1533-position model. The record is from RNAcentral.
UACGGAGGGUGCGAGCGUUAAUCGGAAUUACUGGGCGUAAAGCGCACGUAGGCGGUUAGGCAAGUCGGGUGUGAAAGCCCUGGGCUCAACCUGGGAAUUGCAUUCGAAACUACCUGACUCGAGUAUGGGAGAGGGAAGCGGAAUUUCCGGUGUAGCGGUGAAAUGCGUAGAUAUCGGAAGGAACACCAGUGGCGAAGGCGGCUUCCUGGACCAAUACUGACGCUGAGGUGCGAAAGCGUGGGGAGCAAACAGG